This 103-nucleotide ribosomal RNA is filed under the name Krameria paucifolia. RNAcentral describes it as "partial 5.8S ribosomal RNA". It matches the Rfam family "5.8S ribosomal RNA", at positions 1 to 96 of the family's 154-position model. Rfam says of the family: 5.8S ribosomal RNA (5.8S rRNA) is a component of the large subunit of the eukaryotic ribosome. It is transcribed by RNA polymerase I as part of the 45S precursor that also contains 18S and 28S rRNA. Lineage: Eukaryota; Viridiplantae; Streptophyta; Magnoliopsida; Zygophyllales; Krameriaceae. The record is from RNAcentral.
UAAGCACGACUCCCGACAAUGGAUAUCUCGGCUCUCGCAUCGAUGAAGAACGUAGCGAAAUGCGAUACUUGGUGUGAAUUGCAGAAUCCCGUGAACCAUCGAG